GAAUAGCACAGCAAACCUCAGUCUUCCAGCUGUCCUAGUGUGUCCAUACGCAGUCAGAAGUGCACAUUUAUGUCUGUGACUGGAGCCAUGCACAGAGACCCAGGGUGCUGUUUCUUGCAUUUGUUUUUCUGCAAAGUCAGAUCUUCCUUCUGCCACAGGAAGCCUCCAUCUCAGCUGCCUUCAGUUAUACAAAGAUCAGGAGUCUUGUCCAGGAGAGCCAAGAGAAGCAGCCGUCUCUCGCCAGGAGAGCAUUUCAAUGACUCCAGUGAGAGCUCCAGCAGCCUGCUCUGGUGAAGAUUCAGAUGGCCUUUGAAGCAAACUCGGUGCCCUGAAGUGCAUUACUGAGCGUGGCCUUCUCAGCACCCUGUGGUCCCGGGGCUGCCUGAGGAUGAGCCCUUCAAUUCAGCAUGUGUGGAAGAAAGAAGGAUGUCCUCACUGCCUUCAAGCUAAAUCUCAGCUUGUGUUGCCAAACCUUGACAAGAAUUGACAGGAGGUGCUUCUUGCUGGGGAGGCUGACAUUUGAACUCACAGCUUCUCCUGGAAGUAUCAGGAGAUUCUCUCUCUUCUUCUCUCUGGACCCCACCUGCUGUCCACUACCCCACCUGUUUCAAGCUGUGACAUGAAGAGCUCUGGGAAGAAUUCAGUAGAAAGCUGACUUUGCUGCACUGAUCAUCUGUAAUGGGGUGUGGGAACGAAAUUGCUCCUGAUCUCUGGUGAUGUGAAUGCUACUAACACAACAUUUAAAGGCACUACUCACAAGAUAAGAUCAUGGCCUAGAUCCAUGAGUCCUGAUAUUUCAGGGGACCAGUGAAGUAGCUGAAAAAAGAAGGUGGGAUCAGAGGAAGAGAAAGCCAAGUUGGAAAUGUCCUGCUGUUGUUUUAGCCAUGCUCCAGUGGGGAAGACACAGAAAUCAGAAGGAGCUCUGCCCAGAUCUUUUCUGAGGUCAUGAAAAUAGCCCUAUGCUAAAUGUAAUGAGAUACCUUGCUGCUUCCAGAAACUCUUGAGUUAAGAAGAUUGAGCCUGGUGGAAGAGCUGAAGUGCUUCAAAUCAGAAAAAAAAGUUCUGCAUUGUGCUGACAAUGCAAGAUCACACCUCUUGAAGUCUUACUUGUUUAUGGACAAGGAUUUCCCUCCUGGAAACAGUUAGAUGAUCAGGUUUAAAAACACGUAGCAUGGGAGUUCCAGGAGUUAUCUGCUACGAAUAUAUUAUCCACUGUAUUUAACUUGUUUGUUUGUGAAUGGACCAUGAAGCAUACAAAGAUACUUGCUAUUCAGAACUGUUCACAAAAUAAUGAGUAAAUCACUGAAUAUAACUCUUAUAUCUAUGAACAUUUCACUGCAGACUGUCUGUUUGUAACAUGUGGUUGGUCACUUGAAACACAAGUCCUUGUUCAGCUUCUUCAGAUGAGAGAAAUCUUUCUGUUGUAAUACAAGUAAUAAAAAGCCAAAGUUCUGCCUCAGAGGGUACUCUGCAUGUUUAAAAUCAGUAGUUAUUUACUGUUCUGAGCAUUAAGUCCAUUAGUUGCACGUCCUUAAAAAAAAUAUUACGAUGAUGACAAUGGUGAUGAUAAUAACAGCAAUGAUAAUAUGCUUCUUGUGUUUUGCCAAAAAGGUGUAUAGUCUCAGCACAAAGUUAACUCUAGUCUUCAGGCCUCUACUGCUGAGGGGCAGUAUUAUUUGUAAUUUCUACGCUGCAGUGCUAAAGAAGGUAGGGUGGAUUAAUUUCUUCACAGGAGCAAUAGUUUGGGCCCAUUUUGUCCUUCUUCUGGCACCUUUCUCCUCUGGGCUCCAGCCCUAGGGGCUCACCACUCCACAUGGCUGGCAGAGGGAGGAGACCAUUCCACAGCAAUACUUCCAUGCUUACUGCAUGUCCCUGCUUAACCGUGGAGUCCACAGGAUGUCAACGGGGGGAGACCCACAGAGCUCCUGAAAAUGGGAUUGGUGAUGGGAAGGGAUGCUCUUCCUGCUUGCAAAGGUU
This is a long non-coding RNA of Haemorhous mexicanus (house finch), 1977 nucleotides long. RefSeq lists it as uncharacterized. The record is from RefSeq and is a predicted model, not a curated record. The transcript has 6 exons. NCBI's taxonomy places the organism in Eukaryota, Metazoa, Chordata, Aves, Passeriformes, Fringillidae.